Molecule: transfer RNA, 71 nt
Filed under: Cordylochernes scorpioides
Lineage: Eukaryota; Metazoa; Arthropoda; Arachnida; Pseudoscorpiones; Chernetidae
Description: tRNA-Pro
Source: RNAcentral
GUCCAGGGAUGGGAAUCGAACCCACAGUGUUCAGAACCGGGCAGAUGCCAUGUCCACUAGGCUACCCUGGA